UAUUAAUAAGGCUAGACCGGCGCACGGGUGCGUAACACGUAUGCAACCUACCUUAUACUGGGGAAUAACUUCGAGAAAUCGGCGCUAAUACCCCAUAACAUUGCGAAAUGGCAUCAUUUUGCAAUUAAAGCUCCGGCGGUAUAAGAUGGGCAUGCGUCCAAUUAGCUAGUUGGUGAGGUAACUGCUCACCAAGGCUACGAUUGGUAGGGGUUCUGAGAGGAUGAUCCCCCACACUGGUACUGAGACACGGACCAGACUCCUACGGGAGGCAGCAGUGAGGAAUAUUGCGCAAUGGACGAAAGUCUGACGCAGCCAUGCCGCGUGCAGGAUGACGGCCCUAUGGGUUGUAAACUGCUUUUGUAUGGGAAUAAACCCUUCUACGUGUAGAAGGCUGAAGGUACCAUAAGAAUAAGCACCGGCUAACUCCGUGCCAGCAGCCGCGGUAAUACGGAGGGUGCAAGCGUUAUCCGGAUUUAUUGGGUUUAAAGGGUCCGU
RNAcentral lists this ribosomal RNA (495 nucleotides) under uncultured Bacteroidota bacterium. Its description in RNAcentral is "bacterial SSU rRNA". It matches the Rfam family "Bacterial small subunit ribosomal RNA", at positions 77 to 572 of the family's 1533-position model. Lineage: Bacteria; Pseudomonadati; Bacteroidota. The record is from RNAcentral.